AUUGAACGCUGGCGGCAGGCCUAACACAUGCAAGUCGAGCGGAUGAGAGGAGCUUGCUUCUCGAUUCAGCGGCGGACGGGUGAGUAAUGCCUAGGAAUCUGCCUGGUAGUGGGGGACAACGUUUCGAAAGGAACGCUAAUACCGCAUACGUCCUACGGGAGAAAGCAGGGGACCUUCGGGCCUUGCGCUAUCAGCUGAGCCUAGGUCGGAUUAGCUAGUUGGUGAGGUAAUGGCUCACCAAGGCGACGAUCCGUAACUGGUCUGAGGGGGUUAUCAGUCACAGUGGAACUGAGACACGGUCCAGACUCCUACGGGAGGCAGCAGUGGGGCAUAUUGGACAAUGGGCGAAAGCCUGAUCCAGCCAUGCCGCGUGUGUGAAGAAGGUCUUCGGAUUGUAAAGCACUUUAAGUUGGGAGGAAGGGUUGUAGAUUAAUACUCUGCAAUUUUGACGUUACCGACAGAAUAAGCACCGGCUAACUCUGUGCCAGCCGCCGCGGUAA
RNAcentral lists this ribosomal RNA (500 nucleotides) under uncultured bacterium. Its description in RNAcentral is "partial 16S ribosomal RNA". It matches the Rfam family "Bacterial small subunit ribosomal RNA", at positions 30 to 523 of the family's 1533-position model. The record is from RNAcentral.